CCGUAGCUAACGCAUUAAGUUCCCCGCCUGGGGAGUACGGCCGCAAGGCUAAAACUCAAAGGAAUUGACGGGGGCCCGCACAAGCGGCGGAGCAUGCGGAUUAAUUCGAUGCAACGCGAAGAACCUUACCAAGGCUUGACAUACACUGGAAACGGCUAGAGAUAGUCGCCUCUUCGGACUGGUGUACAGGUGGUGCAUGGUUGUCGUCAGCUCGUGUCGUGAGAUGUUGGGUUAAGUCCCGCAACGAGCGCAACCCUCGUUCUAUGUUGCCAGCACGUAAUGGUGGGAACUCAUGGAAGACUGCCGGGGUCAACUCGGAGGAAGGUGGGGAUGACGUCAAAUCAUCAUGCCCUUUAUGUCUUGGGCUUCACGCAUGCUACAAUGGCCGGUACAGAGGGUGGCGAUACCGUGAGGUGGAGCGAAUCCCAGAAAGCCGGUCUCAGUUCGGAUCGUAGUCUGCAACUCGACUACGUGAAGUCGGAGUCGCUAGUAAUCGCAGAUCAGCAACGCUGCGGUGAAUACGUUCCCGGGCCUUGUACACACCGCCCGUCAAGUCACGAAAGUCGGUAACACCCGAAGCCGGUGGCCUAACCUUUGU
RNAcentral lists this ribosomal RNA (598 nucleotides) under Brevibacteriaceae bacterium SM59. RNAcentral describes it as "bacterial SSU rRNA". It matches the Rfam family "Bacterial small subunit ribosomal RNA", at positions 846 to 1444 of the family's 1533-position model. Lineage: Bacteria; Bacillati; Actinomycetota; Actinomycetes; Micrococcales; Brevibacteriaceae. The record is from RNAcentral.